Molecule: ribosomal RNA, 502 nt
Filed under: uncultured bacterium
Lineage: Bacteria
Description: partial 16S ribosomal RNA
Rfam family: Bacterial small subunit ribosomal RNA
Source: RNAcentral
AUUGAACGCUAGCGGCAGGCUUAACACAUGCAAGUCGAGCGGGGUGAUGGUGCUUGCACUAUCACUUAGCGGCGGACGGGUGAGUAAUGCUUAGGAAUCUGCCUAUUAGUGGGGGACAACAUCUCGAAAGGGAUGCUAAUACCGCAUACGUCCUACGGGAGAAAGCAGGGGAUCACUUGUGACCUUGCGCUAAUAGAUGAGCCUAAGUCGGAUUAGCUAGUUGGUGGGGUAAAGGCCUACCAAGGCGACGAUCGGUAGCGGGUCUGAGAGGAUGAUCCGCCACACUGGGACUGAGACACGGCCCAGACUCCUACGGGAGGCAGCAGUGGGGAAUAUUGGACAAUGGGGGGAACCCUGAUCCAGCCAUGCCGCGUGUGUGAAGAAGGCCUUAUGGUGUAAAGCACUUUAAGCGAGGAGGAGGCUCUUUUGGUUAAUACCCAAGAUGAGUGGACGUUACUCGCAGAAUAAGCACCGGCUAACUCUGUGCCAGCCGCCGCCGUAA